Molecule: ribosomal RNA, 1521 nt
Filed under: Enterococcus faecium
Lineage: Bacteria; Bacillati; Bacillota; Bacilli; Lactobacillales; Enterococcaceae
Description: bacterial SSU rRNA
Rfam family: Bacterial small subunit ribosomal RNA
Source: RNAcentral
GAGUUUGAUCCUGGCUCAGGACGAACGCUGGCGGCGUGCCUAAUACAUGCAAGUCGUACGCUUCUUUUUCCACCGGAGCUUGCUCCACCGGAAAAAGAAGAGUGGCGAACGGGUGAGUAACACGUGGGUAACCUGCCCAUCAGAAGGGGAUAACACUUGGAAACAGGUGCUAAUACCGUAUAACAAUCGAAACCGCAUGGUUUUGAUUUGAAAGGCGCUUUCGGGUGUCGCUGAUGGAUGGACCCGCGGUGCAUUAGCUAGUUGGUGAGGUAACGGCUCACCAAGGCCACGAUGCAUAGCCGACCUGAGAGGGUGAUCGGCCACAUUGGGACUGAGACACGGCCCAAACUCCUACGGGAGGCAGCAGUAGGGAAUCUUCGGCAAUGGACGAAAGUCUGACCGAGCAACGCCGCGUGAGUGAAGAAGGUUUUCGGAUCGUAAAACUCUGUUGUUAGAGAAGAACAAGGAUGAGAGUAACUGUUCAUCCCUUGACGGUAUCUAACCAGAAAGCCACGGCUAACUACGUGCCAGCAGCCGCGGUAAUACGUAGGUGGCAAGCGUUGUCCGGAUUUAUUGGGCGUAAAGCGAGCGCAGGCGGUUUCUUAAGUCUGAUGUGAAAGCCCCCGGCUCAACCGGGGAGGGUCAUUGGAAACUGGGAGACUUGAGUGCAGAAGAGGAGAGUGGAAUUCCAUGUGUAGCGGUGAAAUGCGUAGAUAUAUGGAGGAACACCAGUGGCGAAGGCGGCUCUCUGGUCUGUAACUGACGCUGAGGCUCGAAAGCGUGGGGAGCAAACAGGAUUAGAUACCCUGGUAGUCCACGCCGUAAACGAUGAGUGCUAAGUGUUGGAGGGUUUCCGCCCUUCAGUGCUGCAGCUAACGCAUUAAGCACUCCGCCUGGGGAGUACGACCGCAAGGUUGAAACUCAAAGGAAUUGACGGGGGCCCGCACAAGCGGUGGAGCAUGUGGUUUAAUUCGAAGCAACGCGAAGAACCUUACCAGGUCUUGACAUCCUUUGACCACUCUAGAGAUAGAGCUUCCCCUUCGGGGGCAAAGUGACAGGUGGUGCAUGGUUGUCGUCAGCUCGUGUCGUGAGAUGUUGGGUUAAGUCCCGCAACGAGCGCAACCCUUAUUGUUAGUUGCCAUCAUUYAGUUGGGCACUCUAGCAAGACUGCCGGUGACAAACCGGAGGAAGGUGGGGAUGACGUCAAAUCAUCAUGCCCCUUAUGACCUGGGCUACACACGUGCUACAAUGGGAAGUACAACGAGUYGCGAAGUCGCGAGGCUAAGCUAAUCUCUUAAAGCUUCUCUCAGUUCGGAUUGCAGGCUGCAACUCGCCUGCAUGAAGCCGGAAUCGCUAGUAAUCGCGGAUCAGCACGCCGCGGUGAAUACGUUCCCGGGCCUUGUACACACCGCCCGUCACACCACGAGAGUUUGUAACACCCGAAGUCGGUGAGGUAACCUUUUUGGAGCCAGCCGCCUAAGGUGGGAUAGAUGAUUGGGGUGAAGUCGUAACAAGGUAGCC